UUGACAGUUAUGGCUGCGUAAGAUGUUUUUCAGAGCCUGAAGGACACACUUAGGUGUCAAUAGUAAAUCAGGAAACAAUCGUUGCGGCGCCAGGUGGGAGGGGUAGGCCACCCGCCCUUUCUCUCGCACGCAACUGAAAAGUAUAAUAGAGAGAUGCAGAGUACAAACAGGUAGACUCUGCUGCGGGUUUCAUACGGACGCCCAGCUGGUUGACAAGCAGAGCUCUACCUGGGUGAACGGCUCUCCACCUUCUCAGCAUAGGUAAGUUCAUGCCCGCAGGUCUUGCAGGUUUUCUUGUAGAGGUCCUCUUCCGGAUCCACCACCACCUCUGGUCCGUAUUGGUGUUGGUGAGCGCUGGUGUCUUUGGUCCACAUGCUGCUCCUAACUGCCCGACGCAAUUCUGCCGAACAGACGACAUGGGACAAGGCAUACAACAACAAGGGCCGCCUCCGAACCCCACACCUCCAUACAUCGCUUCUCUACAUGUACUUUAAGGUCAAAGCUGUUGCUGAGGUAGGAGUCCAUAAAGGGCUUCUGACAAUCAUCGCAAAAAAGGUAGUCUGGCUCAAUGACUGGGGCUGCGAAACAAGACACAGUACAUGAGAAGAAGAAGAAGAAAACAACGCGCAC
Long non-coding RNA from Syngnathoides biaculeatus (alligator pipefish), 630 nucleotides. RefSeq lists it as uncharacterized. The transcript has 4 exons. The record is from RefSeq and is a predicted model, not a curated record. NCBI's taxonomy places the organism in Eukaryota, Metazoa, Chordata, Actinopteri, Syngnathiformes, Syngnathidae.